AUUGACCGCUGGCGGCAGGCCUAACACAUGCAAGUCGGACGAGUGGCGGACGGGUGAGUAAUGUCUGGGAAACUGCCUGAUUGAGGGGGAUAACUACUGGAAACGGUAGCUAAUACCGCAUACCAUCUGAUGUGCCCAGAUGGGAUUAGCUAGUUGGUGGGGUAACUGCUCACCAAGGCGACUAUCCCUAGCUGGUCUGAGAGGAUGACCAGCCACACGUGAACUGAGACACGGUCCAGAUUCCUACGUGAGGAAGCAGUGGGGAAUAUUGCACAAGGGGCGCAAACCUGAUGCAGCCAUGCCGCGUGUAUGAAGAAGGCCUGCGUGUUGUAAAGUACUUUCAGCGGGGAGGCGUUACCCGCAGAAGAAGCACCGGCUAACUCCGUGCCAGCAGCCGCGGUAAUUC
This 406-nucleotide ribosomal RNA is filed under the name uncultured bacterium. Its description in RNAcentral is "partial 16S ribosomal RNA". It matches the Rfam family "Bacterial small subunit ribosomal RNA", at positions 30 to 526 of the family's 1533-position model. The record is from RNAcentral.